CAGCAGUAAGGAAUAUUGCGCAAUGGACGAAAGUCUGACGCAGCGACGCCGCGUGGGGGAUGAAGGUCUUCGGAUUGUAAACCCCUUUCGGGAGGGAAGAUGGAGUGGGUAACCACUUGGACGGUACCUCCAGAAGCAGCCACGGCUAACUUCGUGCCAGCAGCCGCGGUAAUACGAAGGUGGCAAGCGUUGUUCGGAUUCACUGGGCGUACAGGGAGCGUAGGCGGUUGGGUAAGCCCUCCGUGAAAUCUCCGGGCCUAACCCGGAAAGUGCAGAGGGGACUGCUCAGCUAGAGGAUGGGAGAGGAGCGCGGAAUUCCCGGUGUAGCGGUGAAAUGCGUAGAGAUCGGGAGGAAGGCCGGUGGCGAAGGCGGCGCUCUGGAACAUUUCUGACGCUGAGGCUCGAAAGCGUGGGGAGCAAACAGGAUUAGAUACCCUGGUAGUCCACGCCUUAAACUAUGGAUACUAAGUGUCGGCGGUUUACCGCCGGUGCCGCAGCUAACGCAAUAAGUAUCCCGCCUGGGAAGUACGGCCGCA
RNAcentral lists this ribosomal RNA (536 nucleotides) under uncultured Nitrospira sp. Its description in RNAcentral is "bacterial SSU rRNA". It matches the Rfam family "Bacterial small subunit ribosomal RNA", at positions 349 to 890 of the family's 1533-position model. The record is from RNAcentral. Lineage: Bacteria; Pseudomonadati; Nitrospirota; Nitrospiria; Nitrospirales; Nitrospiraceae.